CAAAAGAUUCCCAACAAACGGGACCAGCAACGACGUCGGCAGAGUCAAUAAGUUCAAUUUUCAAAAAGAAGAAACACGACGUCAAAAUACACGAAUAUAGACGAAAGCAGCAACAAUAUAUCCUCCAACGUUCACAAGCAGAUGGAAAGUCAUUCACGACGUCAAUAGUGCACCCUACGCCUCUUCUUCUUCAGUCACAGGGAAUUUGCACACAAAAAUAUGAGGUUUGCCCUUGCGGUUGCGAGAUCGUGCUACAUAGCAUGUCAAGAACAAAGGAGUUAAUCGAGUCGUCCGCUUAACCUCCUUUUCGCUCGAUUUUCAUACUGAUAAUGGGCUUGAUUCUUGAAGAAAUUCAAUUUUGAACUUGUUGGGUCUUGUUCUUAUACAAGAUCUUCACUCUUUUCCCCCGAUUUUGAACCCUAAUUUUCUUUCGUAAUUACUAUUUUCUUUUUCAUUGUUAAGGGUUGGAGAAAAAAAUAUUGAGAAUUAACUACAUGAAGAAAUACACAUAAAUUCAUAUAGUUCUUGAAAUCGGGAACCCAGAUUUUGUUCAGCCCUUACUCUCGCAUUCUUCUAUUUUUGUUCUUCAGAGUUCUCUUAUGUGGUUGUGGAAGCUCGCCCUUGUUCGUACUCGUUUCCAUUCCCUACCCGCGACAAGGUUAAAAUUCAUAAUUACGGGGAAAAGAAGCAAGUAAAUAGAAACUGGAGCAGAUAUACAAGGAUAUACAACAAUAUACACUAAGGGGUCGUUUGGUACAAAUAUCAAUAAUGCAAGGAUUAGUAAUGUUGGGAUUAGUAAUACAAGGAUUAAUAGUGCAGGGAUUAUUUUUAGCAAGUGUUUGGUUCAUUGUUUCCCACCUCAUCUUGUGUUUGAAUUAAAACUUUACAAAAAAUUUCUUUUCAAUUAUAUCCUUGAAUUAUUAUGUAAUUGGGUUAAGGUAAAUAAUUGUCGGGCAAUAUUAUUUUUUAUGGCCUUCUAACUAGCUAUGAAAAAAAUAAUUUUGUUGUCA
Long non-coding RNA from Solanum pennellii, 1010 nucleotides. RefSeq lists it as uncharacterized. Lineage: Eukaryota; Viridiplantae; Streptophyta; Magnoliopsida; Solanales; Solanaceae. The record is from RefSeq and is a predicted model, not a curated record. The transcript has 2 exons.